Molecule: long non-coding RNA, 3879 nt
Organism: Hydractinia symbiolongicarpus
Lineage: Eukaryota; Metazoa; Cnidaria; Hydrozoa; Anthoathecata; Hydractiniidae
Exons: 3
Source: RefSeq, a predicted model, not a curated record
UUAUAACGCGCCGAGCUGUGUUUUAUUUUAUUGUUUCUAAGAAGAUGUAAGAAUACAAUAUUAUCAAUUUUAAUUGGUUUUAUCCAAAUCAAGAUUGUGUACAAUGGGAGUGAGUGAUGUAAUCUUCUAAUGCGUGUGGUGAAAAGAAGGCGAAUCCGUUAUUGUUUUUCUGCCCAAAUUUGAAGCUAUUUAAUAAAUCUUGAUAAAGUUAAAAAACUGUUUUGAUUUGUUUGUUUUUGUUUUAAUUGUUUCCCGUGAGUUUUCGAAAUUCGUUCCAGCAGAUUCUGUGGCUUCUACUGCCGGAAUUUUUACGUGAAAAAAAUACUGUUUUGUUGUGAGGUCAUUUACGAAAUCGUUACGUUAGGACCAACUUCUGCGGGUUGUACAACUCGAUGUAUCACAUAUCUUUCGGAAUACUGCUAAAAGUGUAAUUUUGUAUUGCGCUCUUUACUUUUACCAAUCUGUGGGAAAAGGCGGUACAAAAUUAUAACACGCGUGAUUCGUUUUUGUUAGUUUCGCGUAAUCUAAUUUUCUCGCACAUUUUGAAAAGAAUAUCCCACGCACAUCAAAUACUCGCGCAGUCUGUUCGCAAAAAAAACUGUUUUUGAGCAACGAAUUGUUCCGCAGAGCGUUCAUUUUCCUACCUUGUCCCCAGGGUUCUUCUAUAUGAUAUUCAAUUUUGAUGUAUUUCGGAAGAUGUUAGCGCCAAAGAAACAAGAAGCGCUAGGGACAAAGUAUUGGAUAGUUUAAUUUUGCUUGCAACUUGCGAAAUGCUUCGCAACCUUUUUUUGAAUUUCUAGUUUUUUCACCACUAAAACGCAUAAGACUUGUAGUUUUCAAAAAUGUUUUCAUUUCUGAUGAGACGCUUAAUGAAAGAGGUUUAAUCGCCGGCAAACGAAAACCCGCAAUUUCCCCGGGCUUGGCCCGUAUAGUCAAAAGUAUACAAAGAUAGUACCGAGGGAGUAAACUCAUUUCCCGAACGAUUUUUUAAUUCAUUUUUUCGCCACUAAAACGCAUGAGACUUGUAGUUUUCAAAAAUGUUUUCAUUUUUGAUGAGACGCUGAAUAAAAGAAGUUUAAUCGCCGGCAAACGAAAACCUGCAAUUUCCCGUAAAUCCCGGACUCGGCCCGUAUAGUCAAAAGUAUACAAAGAAAGUACCCAGGGAGUAAACUCAUUUCUCGAACGAUUUUUUAAAUUAUUUUUUCACCACUAAAACGCAUGAGACUUGUAGUUUUCAAAAAUGUUUUCAUUUUUGAUGAGACGCUGAAUAAAAGAAGUUUAAUCGCCGGCAAACGAAAACCUGCGAUUUCCCGUAAAUCCCGGACUCGGCCCGUAUAGUCAAAAGUAUACAAAGAAAGUACCCAGGGAGUAAACUCAUUUCCCAAACGAUUUUUUAAAUUUAUAUUUUACCACUAAAGCCCAUGAGACUUGUAGUUUUUAAAAUGGUUUCAUUUUUGAUGAGACUCUGAAUAAAAGAAGUUUAAUCGCCAGCAAACGAAAACCCGCGAUUUCCCGUAAAUCCCGGUCUCAGCCCGUAUAGUCAAAAGUAUACAAGGAAAGUACCCAGUGAGUGAACUCAUUUCGCUAACGAAUUUUUAAAUUAUUUUUUCACCACUAAAACGCAUUAGACUUGUAGUUUUCAAAAAUGUUUUCAUUUUUGAUGAGACGCUGAAUAAAAGAAGUUUAAUCGCCGGCAAACGAAAACCUGCGAUUUCCCGUAAAUCCCGGACUCGGCCCGUAUAGUCAAUAUAUACAAAGAAAGUACCCAGGGAGUAAACUCAUUUCCAGAACGAUUUUUUAAAUUAUUUUUUCACCACUAAAAGGCAUGAGACUUGUAGUUUUCAAAAAUGUUUUCAUUUUUGAUGAGACGGUGAAUAAAAGAAGUUUAAUCGCCGGCAAACGAAAACCUGCGAUUUCCCGUAAAUCCCGGACUCUGCCCGUAUAGUCAAAAGUAUACAAAGAAGGUACCCAGGGUGUAAACUCAUUUCCCGAACGAUUUUUUAAAUUAUUAUUUCACCACUAAAGUCCAUGAGACUUGUAGUUGUUAAAAAUAUUUUCCUUUUUGAUGAGACGCUGAAUAAAAGAAGUUUAAUCGCCGGCAAACGAAAACCUGCGAUUUCCCGUAAAUCCCGGACUCGGCCCGCAGAGUCAAAAGUAUACAAAGAAAGUACCCAGGGAGUAAACUCAUUUCCCGAACGAUUUUUUAAAUUAUUUUUUCACUACUAAAACGCAUGAGACUUGUAGUUUUCAAAAAUGUUUUCAUUUUUGAUGAGACGGUGAAUAAAAGAAGUUUAAUCGCCGGCAAACGAAAACCUGCGAUUUCCCGUAAAUCCCGGACUCGGCCCGUAUAGUCAAAAGUAUACAAAGAAAGUACCCAGGGUGUAAACUCAUUUCCCGAACGAUUUUUUAAAUUAUUAUUUCACCACUAAAGCCCAUGAGACUUGUAGUUGUUAAAAAUAUUUUCCUUUUUGAUGAGACGCUGAAUAAAAGAAGUUUAAUCGCCGGCAAACGAAAACCUGCGAUUUCCCGUAAAUCCCGGACUCGGCCCGUAUAGUCAAAAGUAUACAAAGAAAGUACCCAGGGUGUAAAUUCAUUUCCCGAACGAUUUUUUAAAUUAUUAUUUCACCACUAAAGUCCAUGAGACUUGUAGUUGUUAAAAAUAUUUUCCUUUUUGAUGAGACGCUGAAUAAAAGAAGUUUAAUCGCCGGCAAACGAAAACCUGCGAUUUCCCGUAAAUCCCGGACUCGGCCCGCAGAGUCAAAAGUAUACAAAGAAAGUACCCAGGGAGUAAACUCAUUUCCCGAACGAUUUUUUAAAUUAUUUUUUCACUACUAAAACGCAUGAGACUUGUAGUUUUCAAAAAUGUUUUCAUUUUUGAUGAGACGGUGAAUAAAAGAAGUUUAAUCGCCGGCAAACGAAAACCUGCGAUUUCCCGUAAAUCCCGGACUCGGCCCGUAUAGUCAAAAGUAUACAAAGAAAGUACCCAGGGUGUAAACUCAUUUCCCGAACGAUUUUUUAAAUUAUUAUUUCACCACUAAAGCCCAUGAGACUUGUAGUUGUUAAAAAUAUUUUCCUUUUUGAUGAGACGCUGAAUAAAAGAAGUUUAAUCGCCGGCAAACGAAAACCUGCGAUUUCCCGUAAAUCCCGGACUCGGCCCGUAUAGUCAAAAGUAUACAAAGAAAGUACCCAGGGUGUAAAUUCAUUUCCCGAACGAUUUUUUAAAUUAUUAUUUCACCACUAAAGCCCAUGAGACUUGUAGUAUUUAAAAAUAUUUUCAUUUUUGAUGAGACGCUGAAUAAAAGAAGUUUAAUCGCCGGCAAACGAAACCUUGCGACUUCCCGUAAAUCCCGGACUCGGCCCGUAUAGUCCAAAGUAUACAAAGAAAGUACCCAGGGAGUAAAUUCAUUUCCCGAACGAUUUUUUAAAUUAUUUUUUCACCACUAAAACGCAUGAGACUUGUAGUUUUUAAAAAUGUUUUCAUUUUUUAUGAGACGCUGAAUAAAAGAAGUUUAAUUGCCGGCAAACGAAAACCCGCGUCUUCCCGUUAAUCCCGGACUCGGCCCGUAUAGUCAAAAGUAUACAAAGAAAGUACCCAGGGAGUAAACUCAUUUCUCGAACGAUUUUUCAAAUUAUUUUUUCACCACUAAAACGCAUGAAACUUGUAGUUUUCAAAAAUGUUUUCAUUUUUGAUGAGACGCUGAAUAAAAGAAGUUUAAUCGCCGGCAAACGAAAGCCUGCGAUUUCCCGUAAAUCCCGGACUCGGCCCGUGUAGUCAAAAGUAUACAAAGAAAGUACCCAGGGAGUAAACUCAUUUCCCAAACGAUUUUUUAAAUUUAUAUUUUACCACUAAAGCCCAUGAGACUUGUAGUUUUUAAAAAU